UGGCUCAGAACAAACGCUGGCGGCGUGCCUAACACAUGCAAGUCGUACGAGAAAUCCUGGGCAACUGGGAGAGUAAAGUGGCGCACGGGUGAGUAACGCGUGGGUAACCUGCCCUUGAAUUGGGGAUAACUCCGCGAAAGCGAAGUUAAUACCGAAUGAUAUUCCGAUUUCUCCGGAGGUUGGAAUCAAAGGUGGCCUCUGCAUGCAAGCUACUGUUCAAGGAUGGGCCCGCGUACCAUUAGCUUGUUGGUAGGGUAACGGCCUACCAAGGCAUCGAUGGUUAGCUGGUCUGAGAGGAUGGCCAGCCACACUGGAACUGAGACACGGUCCAGACUCCUACGGGAGGCAGCAGUGGGGAAUCUUGCGCAAUGGGGGAAACCCUGACGCAGCAACGCCGCGUGGGUGAUGAAGGCCUUCGGGUCGUAAAGCCCUGUCAGGUGGGAAGAACCGUAUCGGUACAAACAGUGCCGAUGCUUGACGGUACCACCGGAGGAAGCACCGGCUAACUCCGUGCCAGCAGCCGCGGUAA
RNAcentral lists this ribosomal RNA (529 nucleotides) under uncultured delta proteobacterium. RNAcentral's name for it is "bacterial SSU rRNA". It matches the Rfam family "Bacterial small subunit ribosomal RNA", at positions 20 to 523 of the family's 1533-position model. The record is from RNAcentral. Lineage: Bacteria; Deltaproteobacteria.